AGGUCGGCAGACCACCUAGGCAUCGCCUCUGCUCUUUUUAGUGCAGCGCUAAACCUGCUG
Regulatory RNA element from Shewanella woodyi ATCC 51908, 60 nucleotides. It matches the Rfam family "COG3860 RNA". The record is from Rfam. Lineage: Bacteria; Pseudomonadati; Pseudomonadota; Gammaproteobacteria; Alteromonadales; Shewanellaceae.